GAAUAAAAUUCUAGGUAGAAUUUUGAUAAUGACAUUGUUUCCCUAUGUGUCUUGACCAAAUUACGUGCCAGCAGUCGCGGUAAUACGUAGAAGACUAGUGUUAUUCAUGUUUAAUCGGUUUAAAGGGUGCCUAGACGGUAAAUCAAGCCUAAAAAUUAAAUGAAGGGGCUAAUUUUUUAGAGUUACUUAUGAGGGGGUAUUAAAGUACUGCUGGUGUAGAGAUGAAAUUCUGUCAUACCUCUUUUUUAUAGAAAAAUAAUGGCACAGGUAUAGGCGAAAGCAUCCCCUUAUGUGAUAACUGACGUUGAGGGACGAAGGCUUUGUGUAGCGAACAGGAUUAGAUACCCCAGUAGUCAAAGCAGAAAAUGAUGAAUGUCAUAGAUUAGAUAAAUAAGUUUAUUUUAUAAAUGAAAGUGUAAGCAUUCCCCCUCAAGAGUAAUUUGGCAACAUUGGAACUGAAAUCAUUAGACCGUUUUUGAAACCAGUAGUGAAGUAUGUUGUUUAAUUUGAUGAUCCGCAAAAAACCUUACCCCAAUUUGAAUAUUUAUAUCUUUUAUUGUUUUUUUUUAUUUUCUUCUCUUUUGAUUUGAUUUUUCUAAAGAAAAAAAGAAAAAGAGGCGAUAUGAUAUAUUU
RNAcentral lists this ribosomal RNA (633 nucleotides) under Hypogymnia physodes. RNAcentral describes it as "partial small subunit ribosomal RNA". It matches the Rfam family "Bacterial small subunit ribosomal RNA", at positions 444 to 1055 of the family's 1533-position model. Lineage: Eukaryota; Fungi; Ascomycota; Lecanoromycetes; Lecanorales; Parmeliaceae. The record is from RNAcentral.